UACGUAGGGUGCAAGCGUUGUUCGGAAUUACUGGGCGUAAAGGGCGCGUAGGCGGGCUAGUAAGUUAGUUGUGAAAUCCCCGGGCUUAACCCGGGACGUGCAACUAAAACUGCAAGUCUUGAGUAUUGGAGAGGAUGGCGGAAUUCCAGGUGUAGAAGUGAAAUUCGUAGAUAUCUGGAAGAACACCGGAGGCGAAGGCGGCUGUCUGGCCAAAUACUGACGCUAAGGCGCGAAAGUGCGGGGAUCAAACAGG
RNAcentral lists this ribosomal RNA (253 nucleotides) under uncultured bacterium. Its description in RNAcentral is "partial 16S ribosomal RNA". It matches the Rfam family "Bacterial small subunit ribosomal RNA", at positions 524 to 776 of the family's 1533-position model. The record is from RNAcentral.